This 282-nucleotide small nuclear RNA is filed under the name Sorex araneus (European shrew). Its description in RNAcentral is "7SK RNA (ENSSARG00000019793.1)". It matches the Rfam family "7SK RNA". Rfam says of the family: 7SK was discovered as an abundant small nuclear RNA in the mid-70s but a possible function has only recently been suggested. Two independent studies have found that 7SK RNA binds the CDK9/cyclin T complex (known as elongation factor P-TEFb). P-TEFb activates transcription by phosphorylating the C-terminal domain of RNA polymerase II. The record is from RNAcentral. Lineage: Eukaryota; Metazoa; Chordata; Mammalia; Eulipotyphla; Soricidae.
AGAUUUGAGGUGACCUGGCUUCGACAUGUCACCUCACUGACUGCCAGGGUUAAUUUGGUGGCUCUGGCCAGCUAGGCAGGUGACCUGCCUCACCACUCCAUGUGCAUCCUUCACAAAACUGUGCAAUCCAUGGAAGAACAAAAGCCUUCCCUCAGAAAUGUUCUUCGGUUGAGAACAUACGAGAAGCUGCGCUUUCUAGAUAUAAUCUCCAAAAGCUUUCAAAGAGCAUGUGUAUUGAAGGCAAACGGAAGAGUACUGGGAUAAAGAAUGAUGGGGUGGGUU